UACGUAGGGACCGAGCGUUGUCCGGAUUCAUUGGGCGUAAAGGGCUCGUAGGCGGCUGCUCAAGUCGAAUGUGAAAACCCGGAGCUCAACUCCGGGCCUGCAGUCGAUACGGGCGGACUUGAGUGUUGCAGGGGAGACUGGAAUUCCUGGUGUAGCGGUGAAAUGCGCAGAUAUCAGGAGGAACACCGGUGGCGAAGGCGGGUCUCUGGGCAACUACUGACGCUGAGGAGCGAAAGCGUGGGGAGCGAACAGG
RNAcentral lists this ribosomal RNA (253 nucleotides) under uncultured bacterium. Its description in RNAcentral is "partial 16S ribosomal RNA". It matches the Rfam family "Bacterial small subunit ribosomal RNA", at positions 524 to 776 of the family's 1533-position model. The record is from RNAcentral.